UUUUGGGCUUAGUUGGCCGUGGAGCACAUGAAAACUCCAUAGUUAAGUGUGCUCAAGUGGGAGUAGUACUAGGAUGGGUGACUUCUUGGGAAGUCUCCAUCGGGGCGACAA
Non-coding RNA from Helianthus annuus (common sunflower), 111 nucleotides. Lineage: Eukaryota; Viridiplantae; Streptophyta; Magnoliopsida; Asterales; Asteraceae. The record is from Rfam.